GCGCUCCCGCCGGGGCCCCGGGAAGCGGAGACAAGGAGGCGCCGCCGCCGCUGCUGCCCACUCCUCCCGGCUGCGCCCGGGCCCUGUGCCCGCAGCAUGCCCGCCGCCGAGCCGAGCGCCGCCGUCCUCCAGGAGCUCGCGGAGGCGACGCCGCUGCCCGCCGCGGAGCCGCCGCUGCGAGGGUAGCGGGGCCAGAGGCGCCGCGAGGCGGGUGGAGCGGGAGGAGGAGCAGCAGGCAUCCUCCGCGGCGCGGCAGGCGGCGGCCCUGCUGCUCGGGCGCGCCCAUGGCCACGGAGGAAGGAGAAUGCGAGCGGCACCACCCGCCGGCCGCAGCUGCCUACCCCCGCGCCGCGGGCUCGGCGCCCCCCGGAGCUGCUCGAGUCGCCGCCGCCCCCCAGCUGCGGGCGCCCGGCCGCUGGCUGCGCUAGGACGCACCGCCGCUGGUCGCCGAGGGGUAGUGGGGAGGGCGGAGCGAGAGGGACCGGGAGACUGGCGCCCGCCAGGGCGCCGCACGGCAUGUAGCUGUGGGCUCCCGCGCCCUUGUGAAGGUGUCGGCCCGGGGCCCCGCCAUGGCUGGGAAGGACAGUGGGAACCUGAAGACAGUGAGGCUGUGGCGGGACGCCGCCUUGCGCGCCAGGAAGCUGCGGAGCAACCUGCGCCAGCUCACCCUCAGCGUGGCCGGGGGCUGCCCGGGGACCGGGGAGGACCAGAUCGACUCCCCUGACGCCCCCCAGCUCGUGCUGCCGGCCAACAUCGGGGACAUUGAGGUGCUGAACCUGGGGAACAACGGCCUGGAGGAGGUGCCCGACGGGCUGGGGUCGGCACUGGGCAGUCUGCGCGUCCUGGUCCUUCGCAGGAACCGCUUUGCCCAGCUGCCUCCGGCGGUGGCCGAGUUGGGCCACCACCUCACCGAGCUGGACGUGAGCCAUAACCGACUGACGGCUCUGGGCGCGGAGGUGGUGAGCGCCCUGCGCGAGCUGCGCAAGCUAAACCUCAGCCACAACCAGCUGCCCGUCCUGCCCGCCCAGCUGGGCACCCUCGCCCACCUGGAGGAGCUGGAUGUCAGCUUUAAUCGAUUGGCGCACCUGCCCGACUCUCUCUCCUGCCUCUACCGCCUGCGCACCCUCGACGUGGACCACAACCAGCUCACUGCUUUUCCCCAGCAGCUGCUGCAGCUGACAGCCCUGGAGGAGCUGGACGUGUCCAGCAACCGGCUUCGGGGCCUGCCUGAGGAUAUCAGUGCCCUGCGUGCCCUUAAGAUUCUCUGGCUGAGUGGGGCUGAGCUUGGCACCUUGCCAGAGGGAUUCUGUGAGCUGGCCAGCCUGGAGAGCCUCAUGCUAGAUAACAACGGGCUGCAGGCUCUGCCUGCCCAGUUCAGCCGUCUGCAGCGACUCAAAAUGCUCAACCUCUCCUCCAACCUUUUUGAGGAGUUCCCUGUUGCACUGCUGCCCCUGGCUGGUCUGGAGGAGCUCUACCUUAGUCGCAACCAACUCACCUCAGUGCCAUCUCUUAUCUCGGGCCUGGGCCGGCUCCUCACCCUCUGGCUGGAUAAUAAUCGGAUCCGCUACCUGCCAGACUCCAUUGUGGAGCUCACGGGCCUGGAAGAGCUAGUGUUGCAAGGGAACCAGAUCGCUGUGCUGCCAGACAACUUUGGCCAGCUCUCCCGGGUGGGCCUGUGGAAGAUCAAGGACAACCCACUGAUCCAGCCCCCUUACGAGGUCUGUAUGAAGGGGAUCCCUUACAUCGCAGCCUACCAGAAGGAGCUGGCCCAUUCCCAGCCUGCGGUGCAGCCCCGCCUCAAGCUACUCCUGAUGGGCCAUAAGGCUGCAGGGAAGACCUUGCUCCGUCACUGUCUCACUGAGGACAGAGUGGAGGGAAACGAAGGAGGGGACAAGGAGAAGAGCUACCCACCUUCACCUCCUCCCAUGAGCAAGGGCAUCGAGGUGACCAGCUGGACAGCUGAUGCUUCCCGGGGCCUGCGGUUCAUUGUGUAUGACUUAGCUGGAGACGAAAGUUAUGAGGUGAUCCAGCCCUUCUUCCUCUCCCCAGGGGCCCUUUAUGUGCUGGUGGUGAACUUGGCCACCUAUGAGCCACUGCACUUUCCCUCCACGGUGGGCUCCUUCUUGCAUCGGGUUGGGGCCCGGGUGCCUCACGCUGUGGUGUGCAUUGUGGGCACCCAUGCAGACUUGUGUGGGGAGCGGGAGCUGGAGGAGAAGUGUCUGGACAUUCACCGCCAGAUCGCCCUGCAGGAGAAGCACGAUGCUGAGGGGCUGAGCCACCUGGCUCAGGUGGUGGAUGAGGCGCUGGCCCAGGACUUCGAGCUUCGCUCUGCAAGCCCCCAUGCAGCGUACUAUGGUGUUUCGGACAAGAACCUGCGGCGACGCAAGGCCCAUUUUCAGUACCUGCUCAACCACCGGCUGCAGAUCCUGUCCCCCGUGUUGCCUGUGAGCUGCAGGGAUCCCCGCCAAUUACAACGCCUUCGGGACAAACUGCUCUCCGUAGCUGAGCACCGGGAAAUCUUCCCCAACUUACAUAGAGUACUGCCUCGGUCCUGGCAGGUGCUGGAGGAACUGCAUUUCCAGCCACCUCAGGCACAACGGCUUUGGCUAAGCUGGUGGGACUCGGCACGCCUCGGCCUGCAGGCGGGUCUGACAGAGGACCGGCUGCAGAGUGCCCUGUCCUACCUGCACGAGAGCGGCAAGCUGCUCUACUUUGAGGAUAGCCCGGCCCUCAAGGAGCACGUCUUCCACAACCUCAUCCGCCUCAUUGACAUCCUCAAUGUCUUUUUCCAGAGGGAUCCUUCCUUGUUGCUGCAUAAGCUGCUCCUAGGGACCAGCGGAGAGGGCGAGGGCGAAGGGGAAAGCUCCCUCGUGAUGGCCCUGCCCACGCCGAGCCAGGACCUGCUUCGGGCCACCCAGCUCCAUCAUUAUGUGGAGGGCUUUCUGCUUCAUGGGCUCUUGCCAGCCCAUGUCAUUCGGUUGCUGCUUAAGCCUCAUGUCCAGGCCCAGCAAGACUUGCAACUGCUGCUAGAGCUGCUGGAGAAGAUGGGACUCUGCUACUGCCUCAAUAAACCCAAGGGCAAGCUUUUGAAUGGGUCCACGGCCUGGUACAAGUUCCCGUGCUAUGUGCAGAACGAGGUGCCCCAUGCAGAGGCCUGGAUAAAUGGGACCAACCUAGCCGGACAGUCUUUUGUGGCCGAACAGUUGCAGAUUGAAUAUAGUUUUCCCUUUACGUUUCCACCUGGGCUGUUUGCACGCUACAGUGUCCAGAUCAACAGCCAUGUGGUGCAUAGGUCGGAUGGGAAACUUCAGAUCUUUGCAUAUAGAGGGAAAGUUCCUGUGGUGGUGAGUUACAGACCUGCCAAGGGGGUCCUGCAGCCAGACACUCUGUCCAUUGCCAGCCAUGCUUCGUUACCAAAUAUAUGGACAGCAUGGCAAGCCAUAACCCCCUUGGUAGAGGAACUGAAUGUCCUACUUCAAGAAUGGCCUGGACUGCACUACACUGUGCACAUUCUCUGUUCUAAGUGCCUUAAGAGAGGGUCGCCCAAUCCACAUGCUUUCCCAGGGGAGCUGCUGAGUCAGCCCAGACCAGAAGGAGUGGCAGAGAUCAUUUGCCCCAAGAACGGCAGCGAGCGAGUGAAUGUUGCCUUGGUUUACCCACCUACACCAACUGUGAUCAGCCCCUGUUCCAAGUAUCUCCAUACUUUCUUGGAAAAUUAAGUGGAAGGGAUAGUGCUUCUUCCCCUUAUGCCAUCACUUUUACUGUACCCAAUCUGUGACUUUAGGAGCACCAAUUUUUAAGGGAAGAACGUUGGCGAAAAGCACAGAAACCAGUGACUUUUAUGGCUGUGGAAUUUCCGUGGAGAAAAGAGAGCAUCAGAACUCACCUGGACCAUCUUUCGUACCUGGUUAAACCCUCCACACUCCCAAGUGUAUUCCAUGAACUUGAGUUCACAGGUGUUCGGGGGUGUUUUUCAGCACGCCUGGCCUGCAGAUGAGGUGGGGAAUGGUGCGGGGAAGGAUGGGAGAGAAUAUGGAGCAAAUGUUUUACAACCUGAACCUCAGAACUGUGAUCCUCCAAGGAGAGCGCUACUUGAAGAAAAGAAAAAAAAAAAAAAAAGUCGAAUGGCUUCUCAGGGAUUUUGUUUUCUGUGCACAUAUAAGCCAUAGUUCCAGUACAGGUGGCAGUAUUUAGAGCAGAUUUCAGUUCUGUUAAAUGUGAAAGAGGGAUCGACUGACCAUUCAUUGCUGUUCCAUCACUAGUGUAAAAUAUGUAUAUGUUUAUCUUUAUUUUUAUAAUAUGCAAAUACAUUUAAAUUUAUACAGUUUGAAGCUUCUAGCGUUAGUUAACACUGGGUGCAAUAUUCUGCAUGAGAACUGUGCCAAGAAGGGGCUGAUUUUUUAUUUUAGCAUACGACCUUUUUUGUUCAUUCUUUAUUCUUUAAACUUUCUCAGAUUAAAAAAAAGAAAAUCUAUCUGCCCAUGAAUUAAGUGUUGGUUCGUAAAGGUUGCCAAUCAUCUGUAAGGACCUUCAGGCAGUGUCCCCUCUCCUUUUAAUUGAAGGCCCCUGCCUGUAAGCGUUGAGCAGGACAGUGGGUUUAUUCCUUUUCUUUGCCCACAUAUCAUUCAUGCCAGGCAGAGUGUCCUUGCUGCAAGCUUUCAUGCCACCUGGGGGUUGUUGCUGGGUGAGGCGCUGAUGAGGUCUGGUGUUAGGAUCCUUCAGUGGAGUGGGGCAGAGGGGCCAUCCAGUCCCUGGACAACCUGAGCCUUUCAAUAGCUUGAGAUAAUCAAGAAUCAGUUCGGAAACAUUCGAAGAACUCUGGUAAUGAGUACUUUUUUUUUUUUUCUAGAACAGUCUGUAAAAUCUAGCAGAGCACUUUAAAAGCCUCCCACAUCUGGCUGUCAGGCCUUAAGAUAGUAAAUGGCCUAAUUGGAGAACAUAAUCCUACAUUGGUUGUUUAUUAAUACAGAGCCUCUGAUUGCCAAGAACUAGCAAAGCUCUUGUUUUAAAAUCUCCAUGAAGCAAAAUGUGAAAAGCAAACCAAACAAAUUGCUUUCUCUUCUACUCCUAAUUGGGACCAAACAGCAUCUGCUGCAAUAGUAGCACGUUCUAGUCAAGAAUGGAGAGGACUCUGUCUACAUCUGCCUCCUAGACAUGCUGAGUGAAAACGUGUAAGACUGUUUCUCACCACCAGUGUGAGAUAGGAAAAGUGAGUCGGCUAGUAUUAUUCUUUUGCUUCUUUUAUAAAGCACUGACUCUUGGAAUGCCACAGUAGUCCAAGUCGCAACAUAGUUUUCAAAGAAAUAACAAACAAGUAAGUGGCUGCAUUGUAGAAAAUCACCACCAGUCUAUUUUUGUAGAAUAUUUUGUGCCCCAGGAGUUAACUUCACGAACUCCAGAACCUCCAAUCAAACAAGUAUGAUUUCUUAGGAUCAUAAAAAUCAAGUGGGAUCAGACUAUUUCUGCAUUUUUAAAUACUUGAAUAUGACACCUCAAAUUUGAGAUUUCAUUAUCUUUUAGAAUACAGUCACAAAAUUAAUCUGGUUAAUCCUUUUGUCACAGUUCUCGUGUGUGUGCGUGUGCGUGGGUGCGUGGGUGUGUAAGUGUAAGCUGAAUGCUAACAUUUAAUUGCUUUAUGGAUCAUUGAAUCAUUGGGCAUAAGAGUUUUUUAAUUGGCAUGAGACAGUUCCUAAACUGUCAGAUUAACUGAUUUUGACCAGUCUUUUGAAAAGACUCUAGCUUACUCUCCAGGGGACCAUAUUAAAUGAAAAAAAAAAUGCUCCUUUGGGUGACAUACCCUGCAAAGUGUGUGCUGUUAUUAUUAAAGUAAAUGCCCAAGUUCUUAAUAUCUGCUAUUUUUUGACAAGUGAUGUUUUGUGCUGUCAUCUGAACCCUAGAGAAGCAGUGUAAGAAGAAAUCUUGGUGUCACAUAUGUUUAAGCAAAAAGGUCACGGUGAUAGAGGGUCAUGUGACCGAAAACAGCUCCAGAAAAGCUUGAGAACUUGCCUCAGGGUGAGGGGAGGGUUAGAGAUACAGAAAACACUCUGCUCUACAGGAAUUUUCGCUGUCUAUGCAGGAAAGUCCGUUUCUUCUUUCGACACCUGGGAAGACUCAGCCAGCCGAGGCUGACAGGCAAUUCACUAAGCACAAGGGGAGUCUUCCAGCCAAGUAGUCCCUGGCCUCGCAAAAACAACAAAAAAAAACACCCUUGACGUUUGUUAUGGUUUUCAUUCCUGUAACUUGUGGUAUCAAAACCACUUCCUGGAAUUGUAAAAGUGCUACCAGAAUACAUGUUUUUCCCCUUCCAAGAAAAAAAAUGACAGUGCUCAGAUUUGACAGUUGUGCUGUGAACUCUUCUGAAUGAAUAAAAUGGAAAGGGUUUGGUGUCACUCCUGAUGGGGUGUGUUUUAUUUUUCACGCCAGAGUUUGUGAAUUGUAAUUGCGAUUUCCCAUUGAAUUGUCAUAACCGGGCAGAAAAAUUAAAAAAAAAAAAUCGAAAAAGUUCAAUAAAGAUGCCAAUGGUGAAACAGUUA
Molecule: RNA transcript, 6533 nt
Organism: Hipposideros armiger (great roundleaf bat)
Lineage: Eukaryota; Metazoa; Chordata; Mammalia; Chiroptera; Hipposideridae
Gene: MFHAS1
Gene name: multifunctional ROCO family signaling regulator 1
Exons: 4
Source: RefSeq, a predicted model, not a curated record